UGGGGAAUUUUGGACAAUGGGCGAAAGCCUGAUCCAGCAAUGCCGCGUGUGUGAAGAAGGCCUUCGGGUUGUAAAGCACUUUUGUCCGGAAAGAAAUCCUUGGCUCUAAUACAGUCGGGGGAUGACGGUACCGGAAGAAUAAGCACCGGCUAACUACGUGCCAGCAGCCGCGGUAAUACGUAGGGUGCAAGCGUUAAUCGGAAUUACUGGGCGUAAAGCGUGCGCAGGCGGUUUGCUAAGACCGAUGUGAAAUCCCCGGGCUCAACCUGGGAACUGCAUUGGUGACUGGCAGGCUAGAGUAUGGCAGAGGGGGGUAGAAUUCCACGUGUAGCAGUGAAAUGCGUAGAGAUGUGGAGGAAUACCGAUGGCGAAGGCAGCCCCCUGGGCCAAGUACUGACGCUCAUGCACGAAAGCGUGGGGAGCAAACAGGAUUAGAUACCCUGGUAGUCCACGCCCUAAANGAUGUCAACUAGUUGUUGGGGAUUCAUUUCCUUAGUAACGUAGCUAACGCGUGAAGUUGACCGCCUGGGGAGUACGGUCGCAAGAUUAAAACUCAAAUGAAUUGACGGGGUCAUAGCUGUUUCCU
RNAcentral lists this ribosomal RNA (586 nucleotides) under uncultured bacterium. Its description in RNAcentral is "partial 16S ribosomal RNA". It matches the Rfam family "Bacterial small subunit ribosomal RNA", at positions 355 to 1375 of the family's 1533-position model. The record is from RNAcentral.